CCUAGGAGGGUAUUUUCCCAGGAAAGAAUUCAAAGGCAAGCUAGUAGUGUUAUACAGCAACUUUUAUUGAACUGGCAGUGUACAGCAGCAUCGGAGGUCCUGCUCCCUUAUGGACCUGAUCCUUGUGGAUGCUCUGCGCACACUGCCUGUUGGGUAGGCCUUGAGUUCUUUCCUAGGUGAAGCCAAGAACUCUCUCAGGCUAAUCUCUAAUUUUGGGUCUCACCUGCCUUGCAUCAGUUGCAUCUGUGGCAGGCCAUGCUACGCCCAUAUGAGGCUCAUUGAUAGAGUUGCUUUCUGGGUAGGGUCAUGAAUGGCCUUAUCCUGGGCUCCCUUAUCUGAUCUUCUAAUGGCCACAUCUGAGGACGUUGCUAGAGUUUGGAAAAAAACAAACUAUUGUGUAUGAUUCUCCAUCUCAUGGAGAUGAGAGAGCCACAGAUGCACAGGUACUUGUAUGUGUGUGUACAUGCAUGCAUCUGUAAAACCACAAAUACUCUGUUAUCUUAGGAUAAAACAUAUGAUUUACUUAAUAUAACUAAGUUUCAGUAUUAUAAUUUAUAAAACAGUAGAAAGAAAAAAGCGCUGUGACAAAAUAGUGCACAAUUUAAACAGGAAGAAAAUACAUUUCAAAGGCAAUGUAAACCUCUUUCAGUGGACUUUGCCAGGUGGUGUGGAGGACAGUGACCUAGGGCCCCAGCCCCUCAGGGCAAGCAUAGCAGGCAGUAUGCAGAGUACUAGGUGUCCUUUCUGAAUGAUGUCUUUCCCGUCUCAUUUCAGGUGGAAUGAAGAAGCUGACCUCAUGUUAACGAAUAGCAGUUUCAUUAUUGGGACAACAUCUGUGAUUGUGUAUGCUUCAGCAUUUUACGGUAAAGUAGGAAUUACUCUGUUAAACUACAUGACUGGUUUUCAUCUUUCCCCCUCAAGCAACCCAAACCUUUCAUUUUAUCAGAGUUUAAUUUCUCCAUAACAUUACUUUGCUGUGUUGAAGAACUUACAUGGCCUAGCCUUUUCAAUUUCUCCUAGACUGUCACAUAUGCAAAGGAAUGGACUGAACAGGUAAGUCCUGCCUGAUUCUUGUCCUUGCUUUGCUCACCUGGUUGUGAGUUUGGGUAAAAUAAUGUAUUUAUUCAGGUGUCAGAAUCUGGAUAAUGGGAAUUUUUGUGAUGUAUUUUACUUUCUUUUUGGUCAAACAAAUGAAUUGAUUAAUGUAUUACAUUUGGUCGCAAGAUAGAAUCCCUUAGAACAAACCUUUCUUUCUUCUUUCUUGGUAAUGGUUCUUGUCCAGACAUAUGUGUCAUUUGGAGAAGGGUUAAAGACCACAGUAGCAUCAAUGCUAAUGUGAAGCCCAAUGAUCUGGAGUGCUUCUCUGCUGAAUAUCAAAAUAAGCUGUUAAAAUUUAAAACUCUCACCUACAUGGCUUUCCUCUGUAUUAAAAAGUACAAAUUUGCAGAAACUGCUAAGGAGUAUGUAACAACGCACCUACCAAAGCAAUGAAGAAAAAUACAUAAGACAUUAAAAAAUAAGUACAAAUUGAAUUAUCUAUUUCUUAAAUUUGGCAUUAUUAAAGAUUGUGUUUUGUUUGUUUUCAUUUUGUUUUAAUUAUAUUUUAACUUGAACUAUGUCCAUGGAAUGAAAUUCAUUAUCAAUUGUCAUGAUCCAGUUUUAUGCAGUUGACUACACAACCAUUCCAGCACCUCCCUUUUUUGUCAUUUUUUUUUUGUGUUCAUAAAUAAUUUGAAUCUUUUAAUAAUGUUUGGUGCUUUCUGAUUCUGGG
RNAcentral lists this long non-coding RNA (1771 nucleotides) under Papio anubis (olive baboon). RNAcentral describes it as "lncRNA (ENSPANG00000045958.1)". The record is from RNAcentral. Lineage: Eukaryota; Metazoa; Chordata; Mammalia; Primates; Cercopithecidae.